RNAcentral lists this ribosomal RNA (484 nucleotides) under uncultured bacterium. RNAcentral describes it as "partial 16S ribosomal RNA". It matches the Rfam family "Bacterial small subunit ribosomal RNA", at positions 30 to 507 of the family's 1533-position model. The record is from RNAcentral.
AUUGAACGCUGGCGGCAGGCCUAACACAUGCAAGUCGAGCGGAUGAAGGGAGCUUGCUCCUGGAUUCAGCGGCGGACGGGUGAGUAAUGCCUAGGAAUCUGCCUGGUAGUGGGGGAUAACGUCCGGAAACGGGCGCUAAUACCGCAUACGUCCUGAGGGGGAAAGUGGGGGAUCUUCGGACCUCACGCUAUCAGAUGAGCCUAGGUCGGAUUAGCUAGUUGGUGGGGUAAAGGCCUACCAAGGCGACGAUCCGUAACUGGUCUGAGAGGAUGAUCAGGCACACUGGAACUGAGACACGGUCCAGACUCCUACGGGAGGCAGCAGUGGGGAAUAUUGGACGAUGGGCGAAAGCCUGAUCCAGCCAUGCCGCGUGUGUGAAGAAGGUCUUCGGAUUGUAAAGCACUUUAAGUUGGGAGGAAGGGCAGUAAGUUAAUACCUUGCUGUUUUGACGUUACCAACAGAAUAAGCACCGGCUAACUUCGUG